Orussus abietinus is the source of this 1157-nucleotide long non-coding RNA. RefSeq lists it as uncharacterized. The transcript has 3 exons. The record is from RefSeq and is a predicted model, not a curated record. Lineage: Eukaryota; Metazoa; Arthropoda; Insecta; Hymenoptera; Orussidae.
CGGUUCGGGACGCGGAGUGUCGUCUCGUGAACCCGCGACGCGGAAGACCCGCCGAGAUUAUUUUCUAAACCGAAUUUGUGUAUCCGAUUCCGAGUCGACUCGUGUCGCGGUAAAAACCUCGGAAUUCCUGGGGCGUAGCGCCACCACGGGGGCGAUUUAAGUGGCAUUAAACCGUUCUAGGACAUUAAGCAAAAUCGACAUCACCGGUUACAGUGUGCGGUCUAUCAAUAGACGGUUCUCUAGGAAUUCCCAUUUACUCGGCGUUUCCUGCCCGCUUCCGACUUCAUAACGCUCCCUUUGACUCCGGAGCGAUCGGGAGAAGAUAGAAGUGCCCCAGGGUGCCCUUAGAGCGAGGAAGAGUGGAACUCUCCCCCGGGAGGCCGACGAGCCGGCUCGGACGCGUUUCGCGACAACACAGCGUCCAGUUUCGCCGCUCCACAGGUGUCGGUCCUCCGUGGGUAGUCGUAACGGAUUUUCGGGUCCGCGUUACCUCCGAUUUCGGUUAGAGGAAAACCGACGAGGGACGUAAAACGCAUGUCAAUACGCGACGUACAGAGUGGACGGGAGUGGACAGGAGUGGACGGAGCCGGCGGGGAAACGCGCGGAAAUGGGCGAUAAAGUGGCUGGACCGACGUCUCGCGUCUGCCGCGCGUCUUAGCCGACCAACCGCGACCGACCGCCCCCGAUGAAGGUGCUCUACUAUGCUGAGGCAUGACGUCGUCUCGCAUUUCAGGGAGACCUUGCCCGCAGUGAGGUGGUGGGCUGGGUCCCGGUCCCGAUCCCGGGCGGCGGCCGUCGUCGGGAGUCGGGGCGCUCCGGAGAGGAGGUGGCGGUGACGGUCCCCCACGCCACAUGGACCCGGGCCCCGCGGGACCCCCCAGAUCCCGAUUCCGAGUCGAAAUCCGAGUCCUGCCCAGGGCCCCGGGCCCCCGGGUCCCCUGAUGCCCCCCCUGCGCCAGGGUAGGUGCAUCCUGAGCCGCCCGGCAUUCCCGUUGGCGCCGGACGUCCGUCCAAUCACCGUGGCCCGCCGCAACGAUGUCGCGCAGCGCCGCCACGCGCCCCAUGCAAGGUGAGUGAGCCUCUUCUUCAUUUUCCUCUUCUUCCUCUUUGUAUGCGCACGAAAGAUCGCCAUUUCCAACCGAUCUUCAAUAUUUCUU